AGUGAAAUCCGUAGAUAUCAGGAGGAACACCGGUGGCGAAGGCGGCCACCUGGACAGGUAUUGACGCUGAGGUGCGAAAGUGUGGGGAGCAAACAGGAUUAGAUACCCUGGUAGUCCACACCGUAAACGAUGGAUACUAGGUGUCGGGGACUUGAUCUUCGGUGCCGUAGCUAACGCGUUAAGUAUCCCGCCUGGGGAGUACGGUCGCAAGGCUGAAACUCAAAGAAAUUGACGGGGGCCCGCACAAGCGGUGGAGUAUGUGGUUUAAUUCGAUGCAACGCGAAGAACCUUACCUAGGCUUGACAUCCUGGGAAUCCUGCAGAGAUGC
This 328-nucleotide ribosomal RNA is filed under the name marine sediment bacterium DGGE band a. RNAcentral describes it as "bacterial SSU rRNA". It matches the Rfam family "Bacterial small subunit ribosomal RNA", at positions 680 to 1009 of the family's 1533-position model. Lineage: Bacteria; Deltaproteobacteria. The record is from RNAcentral.